This 1067-nucleotide long non-coding RNA is filed under the name Drosophila guanche. Lineage: Eukaryota; Metazoa; Arthropoda; Insecta; Diptera; Drosophilidae. The record is from RNAcentral.
CUUGGAUCUGGACUCUUGUUUGUUAGUUUAAGUUGUUGGUUUACAAACGAAAUGUUGCGCCGUUGCUUUGAUUAUCAAGAUGAUGAAUUAUUAUUAUUAUGAUCGACUAUCGGCGAUCGAUGAUCGAUUCUGGUGGCAAAAAUGUAACUCUGUCUAUUUGUUGAUUUGUUGUUGGCUGGCUGGUUUUGUUGUUUUUUGGGGAAAUGAGGAAAAACUGCUUGCGUUACAUUCUCGUGCCGGCGUUUACAUUGUCUUUUUGUUGUAUUUCGAUUUGAGUUUGUCUUUGUGCUGCAUUCAAGACGGCAUCGAGACGAGCCCGAACUCUAGCCCCGACGCGAGACGUGCGACGGCCCUCAGGGCGGAUGAGUUUGAAGUUAAAGGAGGAGGAGGAGAAGGAGGAGAAGGCCUUGGCUCGCCCGCAGGUGGCAGCAUUUUGAUGGGGAGUCGGGGUAUCUGUUGUAGGUGGGGGUUUCGGGCUACAGGACGAGGACGAGGAGGAGGAGGCGGUGGGAGGUAGGUACAAUGUCUCUCUAAUGUUCUUACACUACCUCUCUCACUCACUCUCUCUCGCUGUGUCUAUUUGUCUGUGUGGUUCCACUCUUGGUUGCACUUCAAGUCAUUUUGCUUUGCACACUUUCACUUUCACAUUCACAUUCACUUUGCACUUUUUCGUUUCCCCUUGAACCCUCGUUCUUCGUUCUUCGUUCUCCUUUCUGCUUCUCUGUCUCUGUUUUGGUUGGUUCUAGUUUUUUUUCUAGUUCUUUGAGCGGGUGGGGUGGGGGAAACUGCUUCUGUUGCUGCUUCUAGUUCUGGUUGUGCCUUCGGCUUGGGGUUUUUAUGUGAUUUAUGCAGAUGCGAAGACUGCGCCGACUGCCGACUGCCUGCCUGCCUGCCUGCCUAGCACUGCCGCCUGCUAAUUUGCCUCGCCAGUUGCCUGCCGCCUGCUGCCGGCCUGCUGCCAGCUGCCUGGUCGAAUGCCUUCACGCAGCACACAGGACACAGGACACUGGACACACAAGGAGACAAGAACCCGGAGGAGCAGAAAAAACGCCGCAACUUGUUUCGCG